GUGUCAGCAGCCGCGGUAAGACAGGGGUCUCGAGCGUUAAUCGGAAUUACUGGGCUUAAAGGGUGCGUAGGUGGGCCUGCAAGUGCCCUGUGAAAUCCCCCGGCUCAACCGGGGAACUGCGGGGCAUACUGCGGGUCUUGAGGAAGGUAGGCGCCGGGGGAACAGUAGGUGGAGCGGUGAAAUGCGUAGAUAUCUACUGGAACGCCGAUGGUGAAGACGCCCGGCUGGGCCUUUCCUGACACUGAGGCACGAAAGCGUGGGGAGCAAACAGGAUUAGAUACCCUUGUAGUCC
RNAcentral lists this ribosomal RNA (292 nucleotides) under uncultured bacterium. Its description in RNAcentral is "partial 16S ribosomal RNA". It matches the Rfam family "Bacterial small subunit ribosomal RNA", at positions 505 to 796 of the family's 1533-position model. The record is from RNAcentral.